GAUGAACGCUAGCUACAGGCUUAACACAUGCAAGUCGAGGGGCAGCAUGGUCUUAGCUUGCUAAGGCCGAUGGCGACCGGCGCACGGGUGAGUAACACGUAUCCAACCUGCCGUCUACUCUUGGACAGCCUUCUGAAAGGAAGAUUAAUACAAGAUGGCAUCAUGAGUCCGCAUGUUCACAUGAUUAAAGGUAUUCCGGUAGACGAUGGGGAUGCGUUCCAUUAGAUAGUAGGCGGGGUAACGGCCCACCUAGGCAGCGAUGGAUAGGGGUUCUGAGAGGAAGGUCCCCCACAUUGGAACUGAGACACGGUCCAA
RNAcentral lists this ribosomal RNA (315 nucleotides) under uncultured bacterium. Its description in RNAcentral is "bacterial SSU rRNA". It matches the Rfam family "Bacterial small subunit ribosomal RNA", at positions 28 to 334 of the family's 1533-position model. The record is from RNAcentral.